UGGGGAAUUUUGGACAAUGGGCGAAAGCCUGAUCCAGCAAUGCCGCGUGUGUGAAGAAGGCCUUCGGGUUGUAAAGCACUUUUGUCCGGAAAGAAAUCCUUGGCUCUAAUACAGUCGGGGGAUGACGGUACCGGAAGAAUAAGCACCGGCUAACUACGUGCCAGCAGCCGCGGUAAUACGUAGGGUGCAAGCGUUAAUCGGAAUUACUGGGCGUAAAGCGUGCGCAGGCGGUUUGCUAAGACCGAUGUGAAAUCCCCGGGCUCAACCUGGGAACUGCAUUGGUGACUGGCAGGCUAGAGUAUGGCAGAGGGGGGUAGAAUUCCACGUGUAGCAGUGAAAUGCGUAGAGAUGUGGAGGAAUACCGAUGGCGAAGGCAGCCCCCUGGGCCAAUACUGACGCUCAUGCACGAAAGCGUGGGGAGCAAACAGGAUUAGAUACCCUGGUAGUCCACGCCCUAAAACGAUGUCAACUAGUUGUUGGGGAUUCAUUCCUUAGUAACGUAGCUAACGCGUGAAGUUGACCGCCUGGGGAGUACGGUCGC
RNAcentral lists this ribosomal RNA (541 nucleotides) under uncultured bacterium. RNAcentral describes it as "partial 16S ribosomal RNA". It matches the Rfam family "Bacterial small subunit ribosomal RNA", at positions 355 to 889 of the family's 1533-position model. The record is from RNAcentral.